This 253-nucleotide ribosomal RNA is filed under the name uncultured bacterium. Its description in RNAcentral is "partial 16S ribosomal RNA". It matches the Rfam family "Bacterial small subunit ribosomal RNA", at positions 524 to 776 of the family's 1533-position model. The record is from RNAcentral.
UACGUAGGUGGCAAGCGUUAUCCGGAAUUAUUGGGCGUAAAGAGCGCGCAGGUGGUUAAUUAAGUCUGAUGUGAAAGCCCACGGCUUAACCGUGGAGGGUCAUUGGAAACUGGUUGACUUGAGUGCAGAAGAGGGAAGUGGAAUUCCAUGUGUAGCGGUGAAAUGCGUAGAGAUAUGGAGGAACACCAGUGGCGAAGGCGGCUUCCUGGUCUACAACUGACACUGAGGCGCGAAAGCGUGGGGAGCAAACAGG